UCUGCCUCAAGGCUCUUGCCUCUUCUGACCAGAGAACUAUGACCUGGCAGUAGAGAAAGCUGAAAACCAACUCGAGUCAGAACAAGAGCUCCCCGCAAAUGCUAAGGCAUUGAUGUAACCAGUCACCUCUGGAACUGGGAGGCAAGUGCAGCUGAAAAGAAUCCCCUCACCUGCUCCAUGGGGAAGAAGCUGCAGGCAGCUGGGGCAGAAGCAGGGAGAUGGCUCAGAGGGCUGCUGCUCUGAUGGAGUUAGAGAAGACUGGCUGGGAGCAGGGCACCAGAGAGGUAAGAUUUCCAAGUGAAAGCAACCUGUUCAAACACCUGAGAAGGAAGAUAAGAACCUCAUCUGAGAUUUGGAAUUUGGAAUUGCUUGCUCUUUAAAAGUAAUUAAAUUUGCCUGCAGAAUCAUCUCUUUUGCCUUGGUAAUUCUCCAGGCUGCUGAAAUACCACAUUUGCAAAAGUACACCCACGAUAUAACCUAUCUAGUUUUUUCUCUUCGUUUAGGCUCACCCACACAGGCAUCUUGUGGAAGCAGAUAGCAAAAACCAAAGGGACUCAUGGGGACAUCAG
Microcebus murinus (gray mouse lemur) is the source of this 569-nucleotide non-coding RNA. The record is from RefSeq and is a predicted model, not a curated record. NCBI's taxonomy places the organism in Eukaryota, Metazoa, Chordata, Mammalia, Primates, Cheirogaleidae.